UGAUCGAACUGCACCUCUUCUUUCUUGUCUUCCUUAUGCGAUUCGCUACGCUCCGCGUGACGCCGCUGCCGGCGGUAGCCUUUUUUCUGCUAGUUGUGAUUGGCGUUUGCUUCGGCGAGCUGACUGUCGCAAGCUCCGCCUUGACGACGGCACUGUCCUCUCACGUCCUUAACGUGACCCUGAGCGGUGCCGGCGCGGGGUCCAAUUGGCCAACGACCACUAACGCGCUGAGCGCCAUCACACCUACGGUUAACGCCACGGUGUGCAGUGCUUUGCCAUCCGGAGUCAGCCACUGCGACGCGUUUCUCAUACGGGUGUCUGAAACCACGCUCGGUCUCCAGCUGAGCAUCGUCACUUCGACUGCCCUUGCGGGAAACUCCACGUACUACCUACUCUCGCAGUGGGUCCACGGAAACAGCACGAGCAUCUCAACGACACUGGCGCGCCUGACGUCGGCCUGCGCAACAGCCCUCGGUACCUCGCUCUCCAGCCUCGCAGUCACCACCGGCGCCUAUGCCGUGCCGUGCCGCAACUCGGAGACGUAUUCCUACCUGCCUGCGUGUGCUGCAGCAGAGGUCCCUGUGACGACGGUCUACAUUCUCGCGCCGUCCUCUGACCUACAGGCGUACUUCGUUGCGUACCUAUGCGGCCCUACUCCCACGGAGACGUGCAGAAACAGCAUCGUCGUUCAGUUGCCGUCAGAGUUGUCGCCGUACACUUUCGUGAGCAUUAAGGGCUUGCCAAAAGCAUUGGAGGCGGUCCUGGCUUACGUCGCCGAUGUGCGCGCCGGUUUCGCGGGCAUGCCUCAGGCAGUGGGCCCGAGAGUGGGCAACACCGCGGCGGCGGUAACCGCCAGAGCGGUUGAGCUGCGGUACCGCGGCAUGCAUGCGGUACUCUUCUCCACGAACGAGAAGACGCGAAUCUACUCCUCUACCACUCGUAUGACGAUUGAGUGUCACGCGAGCUUCGGCUAUUGGGCCUUGGUCUUCAUCGCAAUAUUCCCGCUCUGCGCCAUCCUCUUCCGCUAUGUGUGGUUCCGAGGACGGCAACGGUCCAAGAAACAGGAGCGCCGCCGCGUCGUCGCUGAUGAGAUGCGCAUUAUGCAAGGGUGCACGAACCCGGCCGAUGCGCCGGGCGCUGGAAGAGGGCCGCCGCCGGGUUUCGACACAUCUGUCGCUGGUAUCGGCAGCACAAAGCAGCAGUGGGUCACGGAUGCGAGCCGUAACUACUACGACUCCAACGCCGCAGACGACAACGCCGCCGCGCAGGCCGAUGCGGCGGCGCACCAGAUGUACAUGACCCCUGACACUGGUGAGGCACACCAAUACGUUGUCGAUGACGCGAGCGGCGCAGGCGGGGCGGCGGCGACGGCGGCAUCACAGCCGUCACAGCAAACUGGCAAUGCCGCGGGCGACAACGCGAUCUAUCAGACCUACGUUAACCCCGAGACCGGGGAGACGUACCAAUACACAACCGGUGCGACUGCGGCGGGGCAAGAGCAGGGGCAGACAGCCGAAGCGUCCGUUGCCGAAGGUGCUCAAGACACCGCUGCCGGGGACGGCUACCAAACCUACGUAGACCCGAGCACCGGGGAGACGUACCAAUACACGCAGAUAAACGCCGAUGCAGCGGCACGCAAGUACCAGUACGUAGAUCCCGUGACGGGAACGACUUACCAGUACGCCAACCCGAACGCUGCAGGCGUCUACGAGUACGUUGACCCGACAACCGGUGAAACCUAUCAGUACACCGCCGAGGCUGGAGAGAACAACAGUACGGCGGCGGAGCAGGGGCAUGGCGCUGCCGCCACCGGCAACGUCUACGUUGACCCCCAGAGGGGGGAGAUGUACCGGUACGAGGCACCGCAGCAGUAAAGUCGUGCCCGCGGCAGCCGCCCCAUGUCGGGUGCAGCUCCGUCAUUCACUCCACUUUCCGUGGCGUCGCUGCGUUGUCUCUUUCUCGUUUCUUGUUUGUUCUCGCUGCCUCUUUUGCCAUGUGCGUCUUUGCCUCCUCUCCAGCUCAAAGUGUUGCUAUUUUUCUCUCACCUCUUCCUUGGCGGCAAAACGGCGAACGGACACCCAUGCACCUACCCACGCGUACGUGCACAAGUGGCUGCUUUCCAUGUCUUCUCUUCCCUUAGCACUCCCGCUUUUGCUCGCCGACGCUGUAACGCCUCUCUCUCGCCCGCGUCCACAUCCCUGUCUCUGUCUUUUUCUGGCCACUUCAUCCUUCGUUGAGUAGAGCUGGAGCGUGGAAGGCGCAUGCUUUUCUUGCUGUCUGUCCUUCGCCCCUGCACCCUAGACAC
Molecule: unclassified non-coding RNA, 2305 nt
Filed under: Leishmania donovani
Lineage: Eukaryota; Euglenozoa; Kinetoplastea; Trypanosomatida; Trypanosomatidae
Description: gene:LdHU3.33.4810(CDS-product:hypothetical_prote in_conserved)
Source: RNAcentral